CCAGCAGCCCCCUUUUUUUCCAGACAAGGGGUGUGAACCCUCCUGGGGAUGAGGACUGGUCUUUGAAAAGUGGACUUAGCUUCGUGGGCCUGACAGCUCUGGCCCAGGGUGGUAUGUAAU
This 120-nucleotide long non-coding RNA is filed under the name Nannospalax galili (Upper Galilee mountains blind mole rat). RNAcentral's name for it is "Nuclear enriched abundant transcript 1 conserved region 1 (ENSNGAG00000002739.1)". It matches the Rfam family "Nuclear enriched abundant transcript 1 conserved region 1". Lineage: Eukaryota; Metazoa; Chordata; Mammalia; Rodentia; Spalacidae. The record is from RNAcentral.